CGGACUCAGCGCCCGUCGCUCCCCCGCCCUGACUGAGCGCCGCUCCCUCGAUCAACCACCCCGGGCCCUCUGGGAUCAGCUAGGGGCGGGGCUAGGAGCCCCCUGGAGUAGGCCCCGCCCCUUCCACGCGCCAGAGGGAGGCGGGGACAUGGAGGAGGCCAGCCCCGCCCAUGGUAAAAUGAACAAGCCAGGGGCAGGGUCCCUUCUGUUCCCCUCCUCACAUGCCAGCGACCUGCCCCCCCCAGUUCCCCAAGUCCCACUGCCGUGAUCCAGGUCUCUCGUCUUCUUCCCGCCACACAGCCCAGAUUUCCCUAGUGUAGACAGGGCCGCAGCUGCCACCUGUGUGGCCUCCCUUCCUAGCCUGCUUGGAUUUGCGUGGGAAUUUUUUUCUAAGCCAAAUAGAGUAUUGCGUGGAACGAAGGAAAAAAAGAGAUCUGGUAGGUGAGGUAAUAUGCAGAUGGACGCCCUGAUCAUCAGAGUCCUGGAUGCCUGGGACCCCUGCAACAAGCGUGUCCUGCGGACCUGCGGGAUCGGUCGACGCUGCACAUGGCUUGUAUGGCACCUCAUGGUCUCAGACACCAUCCGAUGGUCCAGGGACUCUACACUGUCCGCCGACAGUACCAGGAGGCAUGAGCCGAAGCAACAUCGUGCAUCCACUACAAGAAAGGGACCGAGAUACUUUUUCCUUUGGACCAUAUGAACUGGAACCAUAAACUCACUGAACAUUAAAUCUCACCAAAUGAGAGCCAGUCCAUCCUCCUCAUCAUAACCACUCGUUAUACUCCACACCUGAACAUAGCCAUGAUAUGAACAACAUACCCUCAUAUCUCAAUGUCUGUACUUUGUCCCAUUAACCUUUUACCCCCAAUAGAGGAUAUUGCAGUUUAUGUAUUCCUUAUACCACCCGAUCUUAAACCAAACUUCGCACCCAUUGAUAAUUUGUACAUUAUUCCCUGAUAACCAGAAACGUCUACACUUAAACUCUGUACCAUUCACUUUUUUUAAAACAUUAUAUUAAUACACUUUUAAAAUCUUU
Long non-coding RNA from Gopherus evgoodei (Goodes thornscrub tortoise), 1036 nucleotides. RefSeq lists it as uncharacterized. NCBI's taxonomy places the organism in Eukaryota, Metazoa, Chordata, Testudines, Testudinidae. The record is from RefSeq and is a predicted model, not a curated record. The transcript is spliced from 2 exons.